GCACUACUGAUGAAACCCAACCAGGUCGAAACAGCUGUCCAGUGC
This is a non-coding RNA of Echinostoma caproni, 45 nucleotides long. NCBI's taxonomy places the organism in Eukaryota, Metazoa, Platyhelminthes, Trematoda, Plagiorchiida, Echinostomatidae. The record is from Rfam.